RNAcentral lists this transfer RNA (72 nucleotides) under Camelus bactrianus (Bactrian camel). It matches the Rfam family "tRNA". Rfam says of the family: Transfer RNA (tRNA) molecules are approximately 80 nucleotides in length. Lineage: Eukaryota; Metazoa; Chordata; Mammalia; Artiodactyla; Camelidae. RNAcentral also lists the same sequence under 2 other names. The record is from Rfam by way of RNAcentral.
GAGGGUGUAGCUCAGUGGCAGAGUACACAUGUUACAUGCACAAGGUCCUGGGUUCAAUCCCCAGUGCCUCCG